Molecule: ribosomal RNA, 248 nt
Filed under: uncultured Actinomycetes bacterium
Lineage: Bacteria; Bacillati; Actinomycetota; Actinomycetes
Description: uncultured actinobacterium partial 16S ribosomal RNA
Rfam family: Bacterial small subunit ribosomal RNA
Source: RNAcentral
AACGAACGCUGGCGGCGCGCCUAAUACAUGCAAGUCGAGCGGUAAGGCCCUUUCGGGGGUACACGAGCGGCGAACGGGUGAGUAACACGUGGGUGACCUGCCUUUAGCUCUGGGAUAAGCCUGGGAAACUGGGUCUAAUACCGGAUAUGACCUCAUGAUGCAUGUUGUGGGGUGGAAAGCCUUGUGCGGCUGGAGAUGGGGCCCGCGGCCUAUCAGCUUGUUGGUGGGGUGAUGGCCUACCAAGGCGA